Drosophila montana is the source of this 763-nucleotide long non-coding RNA. RefSeq lists it as uncharacterized. NCBI's taxonomy places the organism in Eukaryota, Metazoa, Arthropoda, Insecta, Diptera, Drosophilidae. The record is from RefSeq and is a predicted model, not a curated record. The transcript is spliced from 3 exons.
UUAACAGUUAAAGAUGGCCAAAUCCUGCUUUGCGGCGCUUAGGUAAAUCAAAGCAACUCAUCAGCUGUUUAUUUAAUGAAGCGGUACUUUUCCCACUCAUAUAUUACCGACCACCGAUGGAACACCAAUAUGUGAAAUAUGAAAAUGUGACAUUUCUUAAGCAUAGUGGACAAAUGGCAGCAGCAUCUCUGUACGUAGCUAUCGAUAUAUCGUUUGAAUAUUUAGUGGUACGUUCUGCUAGCCGAAAGGUGGCGCUACGCAAUUCCGUCGUGAGUGAAUUAAUAUGCAAUAAAGACUUCAAAUAAGCUCUUCUAAAUAUCGAUCCAAAAAAAUAUAUUUCACACGCUUUCUGGAGGCAGAGUAAGCCGGAAUAGAAAUAUCUCUUAAGAAAUUUGGAGAGCAGCAGUACAUCCUCAUACUCACCUCUCUUACUUCAAGGGUUCCGAAAAUUCAAAAAAAACUUUUCACUCUGUCAUCGGAUGCCAGCGAAUACGGCGGAAUCACGAGGGAGCUGUAUCGUGCGGCUGAAACCGUGGCUGAGUUCUGCGCCAACUAUGCCGAAAGAGUAUAUUGGGAAAAAACCGACAGCAACUAUGCUGAGCUGCAAAAAUGCCUGGAUGGCGAUAUCGUCUAGCCUUCCACAACCCCUUCAACCACUAUUAGAACCACUGCAUUGCCAGAAACAACAAAUGAAUAACUCGCCUAUACAUGUAUUAUUUGUAAAAAAAAAUGUAUAUAAUAAUUCGUAUAAUAACCGUAAUUA